Molecule: ribosomal RNA, 253 nt
Filed under: uncultured bacterium
Lineage: Bacteria
Description: partial 16S ribosomal RNA
Rfam family: Bacterial small subunit ribosomal RNA
Source: RNAcentral
GACGUAGGGCGCGAGCGUUGUCCGGAUUUAUUGGGCGUAAAGAGCGUGUAGGCGGCUAUACAGGUCCGCUGUGAAAACUCGAGGCUCAACCUCGAGACGUCGGUGGAAACCGUAUGGCUAGAGUCCGGAAGAGGAGAGUGGAAUUCCUGGUGUAGCGGUGAAAUGCGCAGAUAUCAGGAAGAACACCCGUGGCGAAGGCGGCUCUCUGGGACGGUACUGACGCUGAGACGCGAAAGCGUGGGGAGCGAACAGG